GUGAGGAAUUUUGCGCAAUGGGGGAAACCCUGACGCAGCAACGCCGCGUGAGUGAAGAAGGCCUUCGGGUUGUAAAGCUCUGUCAAGUGGGAAAAAAGCCUGCCGGUGAACAGUCGGCCGGCCUGAUGGUACCACUAGAGGAAGCACCGGCUAACUCCGUGCCAGCAGCCGCGGUAAUACGGAGGGUGCCAGCGUUGUUCGGAAUCACUGGGCGUAAAGGGCGUGCAGGCGGCAUGGCAAGUCAGAUGUGAAAGCCCUGGGCUUAACCCAGGAAGUGCAUUUGAAACUGCUUUGCUUGAGUAUGGGAGAGGAGAGUGGAAUUCCCAGUGUAGAGGUGAAAUUCGUAGAUAUUGGGAGGAACACCCGUGGCGAAGGCGACUCUCUGGACCAAUACUGACGCUAAGACGCGAAAGCGUGGGGAGCAAACAGGAUUAGAAACCCUAGUAGUCC
Molecule: ribosomal RNA, 450 nt
Filed under: uncultured bacterium
Lineage: Bacteria
Description: bacterial SSU rRNA
Rfam family: Bacterial small subunit ribosomal RNA
Source: RNAcentral